CCUACGGGUGGCAGCAGUAGGGAAUAUUCCACAAUGGACGAAAGUCUGAUGGAGCGACACAGCGUGCAGGAUGAAGGCCCUAUGGGUUGUAAACUGCUGUGGUUAGGGAAGAAAAAGUAGCAUAGGAAAUGAUGCUACCUUGACGGUACCUGAUUAGAAAGCAACGGCUAACUAUGUGCCAGCAGCCGCGGUAAUACAUAGGUUGCAAGCGUUAUCCGAAAUUAUUGGGCGUAAAGCGUCUGUAGGUUGUUUGUUAAGUCUGGCGUUAAAUUUUGGGGCUCAACCCCGAAACGCGUUGGAUACUGGCAGACUAGAGUUAUGUAGUGGUUAGCGGAAUUCCUUGUGAAGCGGUGAAAUGCGUAGAUAUAAGGAAGAACAUCAAUAUGGCGAAGGCAGCUAACUGGGCAUACACUGACACUGAGAGACGAAAGCGUGGGGAGCAAACAGGAUUAGAUACCCCCGUAGUC
RNAcentral lists this ribosomal RNA (467 nucleotides) under uncultured bacterium. Its description in RNAcentral is "bacterial SSU rRNA". It matches the Rfam family "Bacterial small subunit ribosomal RNA", at positions 338 to 795 of the family's 1533-position model. The record is from RNAcentral.